This 1089-nucleotide ribosomal RNA is filed under the name uncultured eukaryote. RNAcentral's name for it is "SSU rRNA". It matches the Rfam family "Eukaryotic small subunit ribosomal RNA", at positions 618 to 1778 of the family's 1831-position model. The record is from RNAcentral.
GUUAAAAGCUCGUAGUUGAAUUUCUAAUUAGUUGAUAGUUGGCUUUCAGUCGCUNUUANCUAGUUAUCCGACACUGAACUAUGACGGUUAUUAAGUUAACCCCAUAGCGAAUUGUCAUUUUACUUUGAAAAAAUUAGAGUGUUUCAGGCAGGCAAUUGCCCGAAUAUCUUAGCAUGGAAUAAUGGAAUAGGACUUUGGUUCAUUUGAUUGGUUAUUGAAUCAAAGUAAUGAUUAAUAGGGACAGUUGGGGGCAUUAGUAUUUAAUUGUCAGAGGUGAAAUUCUUGGAUUUAUUAAAGACUAACUUAUGCGAAAGCAUUUGCCAAGGAUGUUUUCAUUAAUCAAGAACGAAAGUUAGGGGAUCAAAGACGAUCAGAUACCGUCCUAGUCUUAACUAUAAACUAUACCGACUCAGGAUUGGCCAUGUAUUAACUUGGUCAGCACUGUAUGAGAAAUUAAAGUCUUUGGGUUCUGGGGGGAGUAUGGUCGCAAGGCUGAAACUUAAAGGAAUUGACGGAAGGGCACCACCAGGAGUGGAGCCUGCGGCUUAAUUUGACUCAACACGGGGAAACUUACCAAGGCCAAACAGAGGUGGGAUUGACAGAUUGAGAGCUCUUUCUUGAUUCUUUGGGUGGUGGUGCAUGGCCGUUCUUAGUUGGUGGAGUGAUUUGUCUGGUUAAUUCCGUUAACGAACGAGACCUUAACCUGCUAACUAGUUCAUAUUCUCACAGAGUAUGAUACUUCUUAGAGGGACUAUAUAUGUCAAGUAUAUGGAAGUUUGAGGCAAUAACAGGUCUGUGAUGCCCUUAGAUGCCUUGGGCCGCACGCGCGCUACAAUGACAUGCUCAACGAGUUCUAUCCUGAUUCGUAAGAAUUUGGGUAAUCUUUAUAGGACAUGUCGUGUUAGGGAUCGAUCUUUGGAAUUAUAGAUCUUGAACGAGGAAUUCCUAGUAAGUGCAAGUCAUCAGCUUGUACUGAUUACGUCCCUGCCCUUUGUACACACCGCCCGUCGCUGCUACCGAUUUCGAGUGUCCGGUGACACAUGGACUUGUCGAGCAUCGAUGAGAGUGUAGUAAACUUAUCACUUAAAG